RNAcentral lists this ribosomal RNA (465 nucleotides) under uncultured bacterium. Its description in RNAcentral is "bacterial SSU rRNA". It matches the Rfam family "Bacterial small subunit ribosomal RNA", at positions 338 to 795 of the family's 1533-position model. The record is from RNAcentral.
CCUACGGGACGCACCAGUGGGGAAUAUUGCACAAUGGGCGCAAGCCUGAUGCAGCCUUGCCGCGUGUAUGAAGAAGGCUUUAGGGUUGUAAAGUACUUUCAGUUGGGAGGAAGGCGUUGAUGCUAAUAUCAUCAGCGAUUGACGUUACCAACAGAAGAAGCACCGGCUAGCUCCGUGCCAGCAGCCGCGGUAAUACGGAGGGUGCAAGCGUUAAUCGGAAUUACUGGGCGUAAAGCGCACGCAGGCGGUUGAUUGAGUUAGAUGUGAAAUCCCCGGGCUUAACCUGGGAAUGGCAUCUAAGACUGGUCAGCUAGAGUCUUGUAGAGGGGGGUAGAAUUCCAUGUGUAGCGGUGAAAUGCGUAGAGAUGUGGAGGAAUACCGGUGGCGAAGGCAGCCCCCUGGACAGAGACUGACGCUCAGGUGCGAAAGCGUGGGGAGCAAACAGGAUUAGAUACCCGGGUAGUC